This 253-nucleotide ribosomal RNA is filed under the name uncultured bacterium. RNAcentral's name for it is "partial 16S ribosomal RNA". It matches the Rfam family "Bacterial small subunit ribosomal RNA", at positions 524 to 776 of the family's 1533-position model. The record is from RNAcentral.
CACGUAGGGCGCGAGCGUUGUCCGGAAUUAUUGGGCGUAAAGAGCUCGUAGGCGGUCUGUCGCGUCGGCUGUGAAAACCCGGGGCUCAACCCCGGGCCUGCAGUCGAUACGGGCAGACUAGAGUGCGGUAGGGGAGACUGGAAUUCCUGGUGUAGCGGUGAAAUGCGCAGAUAUCAGGAGGAACACCGGUGGCGAAGGCGGGUCUCUGGGCCGUAACUGACGCUGAGGAGCGAAAGCGUGGGGAGCGAACAGG